GAUGAACGCUGGCGGCGUGCCUAAUACAUGCAAGUCGAGCGAACGGACGAGAAGCUUGCUUCCCUGAUGUUAGCGGCGGACGGGUGAGUAACACGUGGAUAACCUACUUAUAAGACUGGGAUAACUUCGGGAAACCGGAGCUAAUACCGGAUAAUAUUUUGAACCGCAUGGUUCAAAAGUGAAAGACGGUCUUGCUGUCACUUAUAGAUGGAUCCGCGCUGCAUUAGCUAGUUGGUAAGGUAACGGCUUACCAAGGCAACGAUGCAUAGCCGACCUGAGAGGGUGAUCGGCCACACUGGAACUGAGACACGGUCCAGACUCCUACGGGAGGCAGCAGUAGGGAAUCUUCCGCAAUGGGCGAAAGCCUGACGGAGCAACGCCGCGUGAGUGAUGAAGGUCUUCGGAUCGUAAAACUCUGUUAUUAGGGAAGAACAUAUGUGUAAGUAACUGUGCACAUCUUGACGGUACCUAAUCAGAAAGCCACGGCUAACUACGUG
RNAcentral lists this ribosomal RNA (497 nucleotides) under uncultured bacterium. RNAcentral describes it as "partial 16S ribosomal RNA". It matches the Rfam family "Bacterial small subunit ribosomal RNA", at positions 28 to 507 of the family's 1533-position model. The record is from RNAcentral.